AUAAGUGAAAAGAAAAUGUGUUUAUAUAAUUACGAGUUAAUUUCGCGAUUAUUAAUUGCCGAGGUGUCGAUAUAAUGAGAAUCAAUCUCACCUGUGCGCGUACAUUAAAAUAUCAUUAAUAAUAUUUCGGCUGGCAUAUGUUAAUUAAAACACAACUGCGAAAGUAAUCAUGAAAAUUGUGGAAUUAUUGUAAAAAUUGAGGAGAAGGGAUUUUGAAAUACUUUAAACUAUGCUUCCUUGGUGUUGGGUAAUUUUUUGGAUUAAAAUUAAAGUAAAAAUGUAUUUGAUAAAUGUUUUCUUUUUCAAAUAUGUGACAGUUGAAUAAUUAUUGGCAAGUUCUUAUGUCUGAUCAGUAAAAGUAUAAAAAAAAAUUUGUCUAAAAUUCGAAUACGAGAGAAAUUAUACGUGGAACGUAAAUCUAGUGAAAGAGCCGCGGAUUAUAGAGGUCUAAGUAGUCUAAGUCUGAUCUUGUCAGACGUAAGACGAUGCACUCGAAAACUUCUUCCGACGGAAGCCGUUCGAAACGACGCUCAAUUUCGAAAUAGACUAAAAUUUCAAACCAAUACUAAACUACAAUUAACACCAAAAUACACAAGUGUUAAUUAAAAAUAAUAAUACAUCCUUAACAAACGGUUAUACAAUCGAAGCACUAAUGUGUAUAAUUAAAAGUAAUAAACAGCACUUGAGAACCGUGGAAAGAAUAAAAACACACUAUUUAACAUAAAAAACAAUGAUUUAAACCUCCCAAUAAUUCACCGUUUAAUUUUACCAAAUCGUUCAAAAUCAAUCACGAAUAAUAACAAUGAAAAACAGAAAAUAAAUUUGUCCAAUUUUUCACUGAUUUUCACAAACAAAAGAACGACCAUCCGAAUAAUCAACCGCGAUCGACGUAAAACUCACGGAACGAUCUUCGUAAUCGCGAGAGCUCGAUUGAGUACGAAAAAUUAAUCACUUCCGGGAUAAGUACAAAGGUCCCCUGAUCGUAGCGUCGUCCCUAUGUAACUGAGGGUUCGAAAAACGAGUGUCCAGCUUCGAUCGUGAAUCCGGUAUAACCAGUUUUCUCGAUCCGAGCGAAGGGUUGAAAAUAAAAAAGAAAGAAAAUGAGAGAUGUCGAAGGUGCAGGAAGGGUUACUCGUGGGACUCGUAGCCUUGGCGUUGUUCUGUUAUUGAAACACCGCGUGGCAGUUAGCGAGCCGAUCGAUGACCGCGUAUAAACAGCUAAUAAUCAAACGAAUCGUGUCAUAAACAAUCCCACGGUGGGGGUCGCGUAGUGGUGGUAAAAGUAUAAAUGAGUUUCGAUCGGGAGUGGGGUGCGGAUGCCACGGCUGGUGGGGUGAUCGGUUCGAAAAGCUCGGCUUGCGUGAAAAUUUCUUUCGAACGUCGAACUGUUAGGGGGAUUAUCCAAACUUCCGUGGAGGUGUGCAGGAAUAAUAGGCGACAGCUUAGGAAAGGAAACGAUAAACCGGUUACGAUUGAUGGAUCUCGAAUCGGAGGUGUAUUCAGGAACGCUUGCCGAUACGUAACUUCUGUAUCAUCGGAUGCACGCAGAUUUUGCGUAGUUUGCAUUGAAACGUCGCCCACAGUGGAAUGUGCAUUCGAUCAAGCCCGCUCCGCUCCUUUCAAAGGCUCUCCCGUAGUUUCGCGUUCAAUGCUUUCAUUGGGAUUUGUUCUUGUUUCUAUUAAAUCGUAGAGUCGAUUGCGCCCGCGAUUCAACGAGGAAGAUAAUUGCUCUACUUGCUUCGUACGCAUCUUAUUCUGUGACAAGAAGUACAAUGGAACUUGUUUCAUCUUUUCAAAUUUUUACAAAUCUUUAUAUUUCAAUUCGUUCGUUCAUUAAAGAUUUUCGAACACUAUGAUUCGUUGAAGAAAAUAGUAAAGUUCGAAAUUUGAAAAUUCAAAGGUUCGAUGUUAAAUCAAAGUUAAAAUCGUCAGCACCGGUAUAAAUUCUCUAGCUACGUAGAUCACAGGCGGUAUUUCAUGUUCGUCCGUCAUUCGCCGUCAGUUUAAUCUUCCGACAUUGCAUGACAACGUUUCCAUCAGACACAGCACUGUGUUCUUUCAAAAAUUCGCGAAAGUAGCUAAUACCGCGGUAGAUCCGUUUCAACCCCUAUCACCCCUUCCAAUUUCCAGCUUACCCAAAAGUUUCACCGUUGAAAAUCUCACGGAUGCCCGAAAACCGAAGUCGAAAAGCGUUUUUCUAAAACCGUCUACCCCGAAGCGACUAAAGUCGAUCCGAAAGAAACAAGGGCGAAAGUGAUCUUGGCGUUCGCGUCAUAGCGGCACAAUGCCGGAAUAGGAUACGUACAGGUCGAAGAUCGAUGUUCGUAAAAAAGUAGAAAAAAAGGACAACACAGUGACAACAAUCUCCAUAUAUACAUGUAGCAGCCGUGAAAAAGCACGAGGUGAUUCCCGUUGUUGCUGUCUCCCGUUGGUGGGAGUCUGACCGGUCAGGGUGGGGGAUAUGUGUGUUCCGAGGGUGAACGGUAUGAUAACGUCGAACAGGUCGACACGCGAUGUAUCGGUCGAGGAAAGAGAGGAAAAAAAAAAAGGGAUAACAGGGGGUGGGGUAGGGUGGAAGGAUUGAAGGUUGCCCCCGAAAGAAUCGAAAGUCCCAUCGAGUCAGAGAGAACGCGAUCGAGGGAAGAAGAGAAAGAGUAGAAGGAGAGAGGAUCGAAGGGGUUGGGGUUUAGGGGAUGAAUCGUGGUUGCUUGCAAGGGCUAGUACAUAGAAAAGAGAGGGAGAGAAGAAGGGUAAGGUUCGUAGGGAAGAGAGAAGGGGAUAGUGGUAGAAUAAGGUGGGGUGGAAGGAAAAGUCUGGCUAGGUGGUAGGGGUUGAAGGCGAGGGUGAGUGGGUUAACUGCAAAACCCGAUCGUCCGUGUUUUUAUCUUAAGACGACUCUGCGACUAGAAGCCGCGUAGGAGACGAGAAGAAGGGGUAUUCCGGUUGAAUUCUGGAAGGGGUUGUUCUCGACCUCGGCGUUCGGCUGGAGGGGUAGAAAACGACAGCGGUGGCGGUGGCGGCGACGGCGGUGUGCGUCGCGGAGUGUAGGGGUUUUCUGGUGGUGGCAGCGUUGAACCGUCUGGGGGUGGGCGAGAGGGGGAUAACAGUCUCGCAUCUACGGAAGAAAUAGUGGGGAUAAGACUACCCUCGGAGGCAGGAGUGCGUUUGCGCCGCCGCCGUGGAGGUGGCAUCGGGUGCUAAGGGUUGCUUAUUCGCCCCAGUCCCUGGCGGCGGAGGGGUGGUCUCUCUCUCGCCCGUUCACGACGGGGGUGGGGAACCCCUCGUCCCCGACUGCAGGGUUAGGGUGGUCUUUAGGUCUGUCAGUAGCAAAGCGGCGGCCUCAUCAUACGGAGCUGCCGGGCUGACCAGCCAGGCCGAAAUCACUUAAGACGCGUACACCUUGUAAUAUAACCACCGUAGAGGCGCGCGCGCGCUCCCGCGUCGCCCGCACCUACACUAACUACAUACGUAUAUAUAUACAUAUACAUACAAUACAUACGCGCGAUCAGCCAAACGUACAUACAAGACUAUACAUAGAAACGCGCGCACGCGGCCAAUUGUAUAUGUAUAUAUCUAUAUAAAUAUAAACUCAGUACACGCAGCCAACGCUGCAACUCACAUACGCACAACUGCCGAACCGCCAUCCAGGUCAAUCCACAUCACGCUUCUCUCCACACACACACACAGACAGAGUGUUGUGCCGAAACACGCGGACACUGGUUUUAAUCGCGGUAUAGAACCGCGCAACCCGUGAGAGGACAAGACGCGCGGCUACCGGUGCUUUUAUAAUACGUGCGCCCUAAGGACACGAAGGAGCAUACCAAGUUGAUGCACCAGGUGCGUGUGCGUGUGUGAUCGGUUGAAAACUCGCUGGUGGUGGUCGUUGGUACGCAGAAGGACGGUGAUUCUUGUCAGUGGUGGACGCGUGUACCUAGAGACAGGGACAAAGGGAAUCUAUGUGCCGUCGUGGUGGUCAUCGUCGUCGUGGCCGUCCUUGUUGCCGGCUAACGUGACGAUGAAACGUUCCUGGAUUAUUUUACGACCGUAACGUUAAUGGCCACUGUUCAGUUCGUUAAUUAUCGUCGAUGAAUGAUCCUCGUGAUCGUAUAGAACAAAGAUGACCGGACAGUACCGCGUAGAUCGAGUACAGUGUAGAAGGACAUUGUGAGACUGGCGGCCGGUAGAAGGCAGUAGAUCGCACUGCUUCUUCCUCGCGUCGGUCCAGUGCUUCGUCAACCUUCGACUGAGACUGUUGUGUUCCUACGUAACCUCCCUCUAUCCUACACUCGACUCGAUCCCCCGACUGUUUAAUAACAAAUUAUCGUGUUAUUACCGUAUCGUGACUCAGUGUGGCACGUGUAUUUUUUGUCCUCCGGAUAACGUGGCUGUGUGCAGAAUAAUAAGAUUGACGAAUGACGUCGUAACAGAGAGCUGGUUGAUGCGCAGACACCGGGACACAAAAGGGGACAGCAUCUUUCACAUCGCCACGGCAACGUUCAUCACGAAUAAGAAGAAUCGCGGCAAGGAAAAUCGAGACGAGGGAGCGAGGGGC
Molecule: long non-coding RNA, 4552 nt
Organism: Osmia lignaria (orchard mason bee)
Lineage: Eukaryota; Metazoa; Arthropoda; Insecta; Hymenoptera; Megachilidae
Source: RefSeq, a predicted model, not a curated record